Sipha flava (yellow sugarcane aphid) is the source of this 79-nucleotide small nucleolar RNA. The record is from RefSeq and is a predicted model, not a curated record. NCBI's taxonomy places the organism in Eukaryota, Metazoa, Arthropoda, Insecta, Hemiptera, Aphididae.
AAUGUUAAUGAUGAAAUUUCAAUCACCUAUCAUGAAUUUUGUAUGAUUGUUUAUUACAUGCACUACCAACUGAAGCAUU